RNAcentral lists this ribosomal RNA (253 nucleotides) under uncultured bacterium. RNAcentral's name for it is "partial 16S ribosomal RNA". It matches the Rfam family "Bacterial small subunit ribosomal RNA", at positions 524 to 776 of the family's 1533-position model. The record is from RNAcentral.
UACGGGGGGGGCAAGCGUUGUUCGGAAUUACUGGGCGUAAAGGGCUCGUAGGCGGCCAACUAAGUCAGACGUGAAAUCCCUCGGCUUAACCGGGGAACUGCGUCUGAUACUGGAUGGCUUGAGGUUGGGAGGGGGAUGCGGAAUUCCAGGUGUAGCGGUGAAAUGCGUAGAUAUCUGGAGGAACACCGGUGGCGAAGGCGGCAUCCUGGACCAAUUCUGACGCUGAGGAGCGAAAGCCAGGGGAGCAAACGGG